This is a long non-coding RNA of Anguilla rostrata (American eel), 1423 nucleotides long. RefSeq lists it as uncharacterized. NCBI's taxonomy places the organism in Eukaryota, Metazoa, Chordata, Actinopteri, Anguilliformes, Anguillidae. The transcript is spliced from 2 exons. The record is from RefSeq and is a predicted model, not a curated record.
CCCCGCUGAGGCAGAGGAAAGCAGCAUCCAGAAGACUGCGGGUUAGUGCAGACGACUGCCACCCUCUUACCUGAGUUACUAUCCCCGGCCAAAUGUGUAUUUUGAAAGCGUUCACUCUUUUUUUAGGCUUAUAGGGGCUUCUAAAAAUUUAGGCUCAUAAAAAUUUGAAGGUCUCUGGUAAUUUGCAAAUAAAACAUUUGAGCAACCAAAACUGUGAAGUCAUAGACAAGAACACUGGUGAAGUAAAAAAAACUGUCAGUGAUCUACCAGAAUUUUAUUGAUAUCUAAUGGGUUAGUAUUACAAAUAAUAAUAAUCAUUAUUAAAUAAUUAUGCAGUAUAAUUACUGGACCCAGGACUGUGUUGUAUAACUAAUCAAAGUAAUAAAGAUAAACAAAUGAAAGAAGAGGGCAGGAGAGGGGGUGCAAGCCCCAAACCCCCCAGAGCCCAUGCCCACCAUCCCACAGCCCGGCCAACAAAAUAAAUGCCUAAUAAAAUAAAAUAAAAUAAACCUGAUGAAAAUACACAAACGAAGCAACCUCCCCCCCCAGCUCCCUCCACGCCGAGGUACGUCCCACGCACUCCUAAGCCAAGGAUUUCAGUUCCAUACCCGGGUUGAUUUUGGGAGUAGCCACAGAUCCUUCCCCGUCUGUCACCCCCUCCUUCCAGAGGCUGUUAGAACUGUUAUGGACGGUGCCACGCCCCACCCCUGACCCCACCCCCGCCCCCUCAGUGGCAGCUCCAGGUUGCCGCGGGCAACAGCAGAGGAACACCUUGGCGAGGUGGGCCCUGAACCUGUGGGUGAAGGCGUACAGGAUGGGGUUGAGGCAGCAGUGGCAGUAGGCCAGGACGCGGGUGCAGGCCAGCGCCAGGUCCAUCCUCGCCCGGGAGUCACAGGAUCCGGGCAUAGCAGUACGCCACCACGGCCAGCGGCAGCAGGAACAGCAGGCCCACCUGCAGGAGUGCCCUGUAGAAGCACUUUGGCUGCGUGUCGAUGCCCAUGCUGAGGUUCUAGCUGCUGCUUCACAGCACAACUCGCUCUACCAGCUCUGAAUAGCAGAUGGCGCUGUGGUACAGACAGACGUGCGGAUUGUGGCUUCGGAAACUCUGCCUCAGCCUCGACUCAGCACAGCUCGAUGAACAGGUGAUUACUGGCUUAACGCUUAAAAAUUAGCUAUCCUGAGGAGCACAAACAGAAAUGCUGAAGAAAUAACUUUAUUAGCCAAAUGAAUAAAGUUCAUAGUUGGUGCAUUGAAUGGAGGUUCAGAAUUUACCUAACUACAACUAUGGCAGCCAGGGUUGUAUUUUAGAAAAGGACACGCACACACUGUACAUACAAAAAUACAUAUUAUUAGCACUGAUAAUUUGAUGACAUGAAAUGUUAUACAUUUUUUUAAAUGCAAAAAUUAAAAAAGAUCCUAGUGA